CCUCAAGAUGAGAUAUCCCAUAACGUGAAGUUAGUAAGACCCCUUGAAGACGACGAGGUAGAUAGGGCAGAGGUGGAAGUGCCGUAAGGCAUGGAGCUGACUGUUACUAAUAGGUCGAGGGCAUAACCAA
This 130-nucleotide ribosomal RNA is filed under the name Candidatus Mediterraneibacter stercoripullorum. RNAcentral describes it as "partial 23S ribosomal RNA". It matches the Rfam family "Bacterial large subunit ribosomal RNA", at positions 2797 to 2925 of the family's 2925-position model. The record is from RNAcentral. Lineage: Bacteria; Bacillati; Bacillota; Clostridia; Lachnospirales; Lachnospiraceae.